UUAAAGCUAUGUCAGCAAUUA
This 21-nucleotide microRNA is filed under the name Tribolium castaneum (red flour beetle). RNAcentral's name for it is "tca-miR-3843-3p". The record is from miRBase by way of RNAcentral. Lineage: Eukaryota; Metazoa; Arthropoda; Insecta; Coleoptera; Tenebrionidae.